This 794-nucleotide ribosomal RNA is filed under the name uncultured Thermococcus sp. RNAcentral's name for it is "bacterial SSU rRNA". It matches the Rfam family "Archaeal small subunit ribosomal RNA", at positions 85 to 876 of the family's 1478-position model. The record is from RNAcentral. Lineage: Archaea; Methanobacteriati; Methanobacteriota; Thermococci; Thermococcales; Thermococcaceae.
ACGGCUCAGUAACACGUCGGUAACCUACCCUCGGGAGGGGGAUAGCCCCGGGAAACUGGGGCUAAUUCCCCAUAGGCCUGAGGUACUGGAAGGUCCUCAGGCCGAAAGGGACUUAUGUCCGCCCGAGGAUGGGCCGGCGGCCGAUUAGGUAGUUGGUGGGGUAAUGGCCCACCAAGCCGAAGAUCGGUACGGGCUGUGAGAGCAGGAGCCCGGAGAUGGACACUGAGACACGGGUCCAGGCCCUACGGGGCGCAGCAGGCGCGAAACCUCCGCAAUGCGGGAAACCGCGACGGGGGGACCCCGAGUGCCGUGGCAACGCCACGGCUUUUCCGGAGUGUAAAAAGCUCCGGGAAUAAGGGCUGGGCAAGGCCGGUGGCAGCCGCCGCGGUAAUACCGGCGGCCCGAGUGGUGGCCGCUAUUAUUGGGCCUAAAGCGUCCGUAGCCGGGCCCGUAAGUCCCUGGCGAAAUCCCACGGCUCAACCGUGGGGCUUGCUGGGGAUACUGCGGGUCUUGGGACCGGGAGAGGCGGGGGGCACCCCUGGGGUAGGGGUGAAAUCCUAUAAUCCCAGGGGGACCGCCAGUGGCGAAGGCGCCCCGCUGGAACGGGUCCGACGGUGAGGGACGAAGGCCAGGGGAGCAAACCGGAUUAGAUACCCGGGUAGUCCUGGCUGUAAAGGAUGCGGGCUAGGUGUCGGGUGAGCCUCGAGCUCGCCCGGUGCCGUAGGGAAGCCGUUAAGCCCGCCGCCUGGGGAGUACGGCCGCACGGCUGAAACUUAAAGGAAUUGGCGGGGGAG